This 62-nucleotide transfer RNA is filed under the name Lamprolepis smaragdina. RNAcentral's name for it is "tRNA-Cys". The record is from RNAcentral. Lineage: Eukaryota; Metazoa; Chordata; Lepidosauria; Squamata; Scincidae.
AGCCUUGGCACACCUCCGUGUGCGUUUCUAGAUUUGCAUUCUAGCGUGAAUCACUACAAGAC